This 253-nucleotide ribosomal RNA is filed under the name uncultured bacterium. Its description in RNAcentral is "partial 16S ribosomal RNA". It matches the Rfam family "Bacterial small subunit ribosomal RNA", at positions 524 to 776 of the family's 1533-position model. The record is from RNAcentral.
UACGUAGGGGGCAAGCGUUGUCCGGAAUCAUUGGGCGUAAAGCGCGUGUAGGCGGCUCGAUAAGUCUGCUGUGAAAGUUCAGGGCUCAACCCUGAAAUGCCGGUGGAAACUGUCGAGCUAGAGUACGGAAGAGGUGAGUGGAAUUCCUGGUGUAGCGGUGAAAUGCGCAGAUAUCAGGAGGAACACCACUGGCGAAGGCAGCUCACUGGGACGUUACUGACGCUGAGACGCGAAAGCGUGGGGAGCAAACAGG